UCAACCGGGUCCAGGAAGAAUUGAUUUUCUGUUUCUGUGACACUCUUUGUUUUCCUUUAUGGCCAUCUUUAUCUUCUGUUAACAUACUUCUGAGACGGAAUCUGGUACCACGCCACAUUCAUCCUCAGGCGAGGCCCAGGACUGAUUCUUCUAGUGCCAUAAAAGAGCAAAUUGCAAUAAUCAAAGCUUGGGGUGAGACAGAGGGAAGGCUCCCAUCCAUCUGUCAAACAAAAAUAGUCUGAGAACGGUGAUGCGGGAAUGCUUUGAAGAAAGGGACUUGGCUGAACCAUGAAGAAUCCAUUAUUUCAGCUCACCCCCUGACUGGGCAUUAGAUUCUUCAUAUACCUCACAACAGGAAGCAGAAAUGAGAAGAUGAUCUCCCCAAAAUCAAAUGCAGCCCUGGAAUGCAGCUGUGAUGCAGACUGAACUCAAAACUAUUAGUCUAAAAUCUGAACUCAAGUCUGGAAUUUCUCUCAGAAAAUUUCUGAAGCAGGAAGUGCUGGCCAAACUUCCAGCUGUUGUGGUGGCAUUAAAAACUGGAGGGAGCUUCAUGAGGUGGGAACUUACCACUGCUACCAAUGUCAAUAAGGCCUGAUUCUGUCCCUAAAGCAGACAUACCUAUGGUAGCUGAUCUGUGGACAUUAUUAGAAAGAACAACAGAGAGCAGAUAUAAAUCCAAAAAACGAUCAUCCACUGUUUUCAACUGAACAAAGCAACUUUGGGAACCAGGUACUGUGCAUUGCAAAUAAAACAUCAGUUAAAAAAUUCUGUUGCACAGCUUUUGUUGUUUUAGUUAGUUAUGCAUGACUCCUUUUAGUUGGAGCCUCAAAACACUGGAAACACCUAAACAAAAUUACAAAAAAUUAAA
This is a long non-coding RNA of Pelodiscus sinensis (Chinese soft-shelled turtle), 868 nucleotides long. RefSeq lists it as uncharacterized. NCBI's taxonomy places the organism in Eukaryota, Metazoa, Chordata, Testudines, Trionychidae. The record is from RefSeq and is a predicted model, not a curated record.